Long non-coding RNA from Drosophila ananassae, 280 nucleotides. RefSeq lists it as uncharacterized. The transcript is spliced from 2 exons. The record is from RefSeq and is a predicted model, not a curated record. NCBI's taxonomy places the organism in Eukaryota, Metazoa, Arthropoda, Insecta, Diptera, Drosophilidae.
GAGUUUUUGCAUUUCAGGGAGACAUUUAGGACAACACAUUCAGGGACGGCAUUGUGGGACAAGGGACAUUGUGGGACAAGGGCGUCGUCUUUCUGGUGCAUCGGGUCGUGUCGUCUUUGAGGCUAAUCAGGUACGUUUGCAGGUGAAUCCAGUGGAGGUCGUCAAGUGGAUAAGGGUUAUCAAAGGUGAGUAUCACAAAUAGUUGGUAAGUCGGCAGUCAGCGUCGUUAAUAGGAAAUUUUUGGAUCAAAAACAUGGAAUGCAGUAUUAAGAAGAAGACG